GUCGAGCGGGGAUUGUAGCUUGCUACAUGACCUAGCGGCGGACGGGUGAGUAAUACUUAGGAAUCUGCCUAUUAGUGGGGGACAACGUUCCGAAAGGAGCGCUAAUACCGCAUACGCCCUACGGGGGAAAGCAGGGGAUCUUCGGACCUUGCGCUAAUAGAUGAGCCUAAGUCGGAUUAGCUAGUUGGUAGGGUAAAGGCCUACCAAGGCGACGAUCUGUAGCGGGUUUGAGAGGAUGAUCCGCCACACUGGGACUGAGACACGGCCCAGACUCCUACGGGAGGCAGCAGUGGGGAAUAUUGGACAAUGGGCGCAAGCCUGAUCCAGCCAUGCCGCGUGUGUGAAGAAGGCCUUAUGGUUGUAAAGCACUUUAAGCGAGGAGGAGGCUUACCUAGAUAAUACCUAGGAUAAGUGGACGUUACUCGCAGAAUAAGCACCGGCUAACUCUGUGCCAGCAGCCGCGGUAAUACAGAGGGUGCAAGCGUUAAUCGGAAUUACUGGGCGUAAAGCGCGCGUAGGUGGCCAUUUAAGUCAAAUGUGAAAUCCCCGAGCUUAACUUGGGAAUUGCAUUCGAUACUGGGUGGCUAGAGUAUAGGAGAGGAAGGUAGAAUUCCAGGUGUAGCGGUGAAAUGCGUAGAGAUCUGGAGGAAUACCGAUGGCGAAGGCAGCCUUCUGGCCUAAUACUGACACUGAGGUGCGAAAGCAUGGGGAGCAAACAGGAUUAGAUACCCUGGUAGUCCAUGCCGUAAACGAUGUCUACUAGCCGUUGGGUCCUUUGAGGACUUAGUGGCGCAGCUAACGCGAUAAGUAGACCGCCUGGGGAGUACGGUCGCAAGACUAAAACUCAAAUGAAUUGACGGGGGCCCGCACAAGCGGUGGAGCAUGUGGUUUAAUUCGAUGCAACGCGAAGAACCUUACCUGG
RNAcentral lists this ribosomal RNA (922 nucleotides) under Acinetobacter sp. 11L2. Its description in RNAcentral is "bacterial SSU rRNA". It matches the Rfam family "Bacterial small subunit ribosomal RNA", at positions 61 to 978 of the family's 1533-position model. Lineage: Bacteria; Pseudomonadati; Pseudomonadota; Gammaproteobacteria; Moraxellales; Moraxellaceae. The record is from RNAcentral.